RNAcentral lists this transfer RNA (77 nucleotides) under candidate division BRC1 bacterium SM23_51. RNAcentral's name for it is "tRNA-Lys". It matches the Rfam family "tRNA". Rfam says of the family: Transfer RNA (tRNA) molecules are approximately 80 nucleotides in length. Their secondary structure includes four short double-helical elements and three loops (D, anti-codon, and T loops). Further hydrogen bonds mediate the characteristic L-shaped molecular structure. tRNAs have two regions of fundamental functional importance: the anti-codon, which is responsible for specific mRNA codon recognition, and the 3' end, to which the tRNAs corresponding amino acid is attached (by aminoacyl-tRNA synthetases). tRNAs cope with the degeneracy of the genetic code in two manners: having more than one tRNA (with a specific anti-codon) for a particular amino acid; and 'wobble' base-pairing, i.e. permitting non-standard base-pairing at the 3rd anti-codon position. Lineage: Bacteria; Candidatus Sumerlaeota. The record is from RNAcentral.
GGGCCAUUAGCUCAAUUGGGCAGAGCAGCGGACUCUUAAUCCGUUGGUUCGGGGUUCGAGUCCCUGAUGGCCCACCA